GGAGAGGUGGCUGAGUGGUCGAAAGCACAUCCUUGCUAAGGAUGCGUAGGUUUAUCCUACCUAGGGUUCGAAUCCCUACCUCUCCG
This 86-nucleotide transfer RNA is filed under the name Planctomycetota bacterium. RNAcentral describes it as "tRNA-Ser". It matches the Rfam family "tRNA". From Rfam's summary of the family: Transfer RNA (tRNA) molecules are approximately 80 nucleotides in length. Their secondary structure includes four short double-helical elements and three loops (D, anti-codon, and T loops). The record is from RNAcentral. Lineage: Bacteria; Pseudomonadati; Planctomycetota.